UACAGAGGGUGCAAGCGUUAAUCGGAAUUACUGGGCGUAAAGGGUCUGUAGGCGGAUUAUUAAGUCGGAUGUGAAAUCCCCGGGCUCAACCUGGGAACGGCAUUCGAUACUGGUAGUCUAGAGUGUGCAAGAGGAUGGGGGAAUUCCUGGUGUAGCAGUGAAAUGCGUAGAGAUCAGGAGGAACAUCAAUGGCGAAGGCACCUUUCUGGGGCAACACUGACGCUGAGAGACCAAAGCGCGGGGAGCAAACCGGAUUAGAUGCCCCGGUAGUCC
RNAcentral lists this ribosomal RNA (273 nucleotides) under uncultured bacterium. RNAcentral's name for it is "partial 16S ribosomal RNA". It matches the Rfam family "Bacterial small subunit ribosomal RNA", at positions 524 to 796 of the family's 1533-position model. The record is from RNAcentral.